GACGAACGCUGGCGGCGUGCUUAACACAUGCAAGUCGAACGGAAAGGCCCCUUUGGGGGUCCUCGAGUGGCGAACGGGUGAGUAACACGUGAGUAACCUGCCCUUGACUUCGGGAUAACUUCAGGAAACUGGUGCUAAUACCGGAUAGGAAUCCUUGCUGCAUGGUGGGGGUUGGAAAGCUUCGGCGGUUUUGGAUGGACUCGCGGCUUAUCAGCUUGUUGGUGGGGUAGUGGCUUACCAAGGCUUUUACGGGUAGCCGGCCUGAGAGGGCGACCGGCCACAUUGGGACUGGGAUACGGCCCAGACUCCUACGGGAGGCAGCAGGGGGGAAUAUUGCACAAUGGGCGGAAGCCUGAUGCAGCAAAGCCGCGGGCGGGAUGACGGCCUUCGGGUUGUAAAACGCUUUCAGCAGGGGCGAAGCUUGUGGUGACGGUACCUGCAGAAGAAGCACCGGCUAACUACGUG
This 465-nucleotide ribosomal RNA is filed under the name uncultured bacterium. RNAcentral describes it as "partial 16S ribosomal RNA". It matches the Rfam family "Bacterial small subunit ribosomal RNA", at positions 28 to 507 of the family's 1533-position model. The record is from RNAcentral.